Molecule: long non-coding RNA, 1464 nt
Organism: Myodes glareolus (Bank vole)
Lineage: Eukaryota; Metazoa; Chordata; Mammalia; Rodentia; Cricetidae
Source: RefSeq, a predicted model, not a curated record
AUGACACCAUAGUCCGCCUCCCCCAGGGCAGCGCUUGCUUGUUCAGUUGCUUCCACCCCCCCACCUCUCGUGUCCUGGCGGCGCCUGGCAGGGUGUUCCAGAGACGGGGCUUCGCGUGCAUAAGGCCACCGACAGUUAAGAGGGCUGCCCUUCAGGGCGCGCGUUCAAGGUCGUUUACAGGAUAGAGUCCGCUUCUGGGUCCGGACUUUUGCACCUUCGCUGUCUUUUCACGCUAGGCAGCCAGGACUCGAAACAAGCUGAACGAUGGUUGUGAGGGUGAAGAAGCUGUCCCAGGGAGACCGGCGUGGACUGUCUAAUAAGUGAUCUAGGGCGAGUACCAGGCACUAGAGAGAUGUGUAGGGAGGAGGCGGGAGGAGAAGAGACAUAAAUCCGUGUCGAACUGUCCAAGAGUUAGCGCCACGUUGAGCUGAAUCUGAAAGAAUUUUAAGAGGCUGAUUAGGCGGGACAGGGGUUAGAAAACCAGAUGGGAAGUUCAGCCUCUGGCAAGGGUUGAAAGCCACAUUCAAUCAAGGUCAAAGGCAUUGGGCGCGAGCUAAGUACGUAGCACAGCUGGCUGGUGGCUGUCUCGGUGGAAGAGACUUCCAAGUUUCAGCUGCCCCCACCUUGGAGGAAUUGUUACGCCUGAUGCCCCAUGCCAGACGGAUGCUGAAGUGAGGCUGUGCAAAUGACAGAACACCCUGCCUUGAGUGACGGAACUGUCGGUGUCCCCAGGAAAGUUACACCUCCUCUGCUCUGCCUCCUGCAGGGCAGCCCAGUGCAGUCUCCGGAGCUGCUUGGCCAGGGUCUCACUACGCAGCCUUGACGGACCCAGAACUCACUAUGACUGGCCUCAAACUGCCAGUGAGCCACCUGCCUCUGCCUUCUGAGUGCUGGGGUCCGAGUUAUGUGCUACCACACGUUGGGCUCUAAAGGUAAACGUCCUUUAGUGUAGGUAUGUCUCAUGCACAAAAAUAAAAGUAAAGACCGUAGUAACAAAAGCAUGUCCCAUACAGCAUUUGAGACCCUUGGAAAAUACCCACUGUGCACCUGAAACUGAAAUUCCACUGGGGGUUGGUAUUUUUAUUUGCUCUGUCUGCUCAGAGGGCGUAAAAGCAACGUCCUAUCCCUUCCCUGCCACCCCCACCUCACCCCUGCUUUGCCUGUCGCCUGAGUCAUCCUGUCAUGAGCUGCUCUGGCUCUGCUUCCCCAGGCGACUGCCCUCCUAGCUGUGGCCCCGGGACACACAGGAUAGGGUGAGUCACAGCCCAAAGAACUAGCUUGGCAGGGGCCCCUGCGCCCCCUGUCGGCGCUAAGUCACACAGCCGCCCAUCUUCGUGGUCGGGGGCAGGGGUGGGCAAAGAAGACUGAGAUUCCGGGAAAGGGUUCCAGAAAGUCAGCCUGGAAGGAAGAAUGGUGCCCAGGGCUCUCCACACUUCACAGAGGAGGAAAACAGCCUCAGAGGGG